GCCAGCGCCCAGCCAGCUAGGGCAGUUGCCCAGGCUCUUCCUUCUCUCAUCUUGAACUUCAAAAUCUCAUCACAAUGGUCUCUCACUCAUGAAAUCGAAAUUGCUUCAGGGAGUAGUCGCAGAACAAAUAUAGUUGUGGUUUAUGAAUCAGUGAAGAAUUGUGUCCGAGUUUAUCGUUUCGUGCUAUGCACACCAAGUGUUCGGUGAAAUGCCUGAACCAUAUUCUUUUGUUUUUCUAUGUUGAAAUCUCUUGAUUGCAGGUCGGAGUUGCUGUUACCGUGUUGUGAUCGAUUGUAGUUGGAAAAUUGAUAGAGAAUUGGUGUUAUAUCAACCGUUUAACAUCUUUCAAAUCAAACAUGUGUAAGUGUUGAAAUCUUUUGAUUGCAGGUCGGAGUUGCUAUUACCGUGUUGUGAUCGAUUGUAGUUGGCAAAUUGAUAGAGAAUUGGUGUUAUAUCAACCGUUUAACAUAUUUCAAAUCAAACAUGUGUAAGUUAUACCUAUGCGAAUUGCAUUUCAAAAACCGGUACACUAUUAGUUGCUGAAUACAAUUAUAUAUUCCCAUGGGAUGAGGACCUUCUUGUCGAUAAUUUUGACCCGAAAAGGUAUAUAUCUAUUGUGAAACAAGAAGGGCUAGAGAUAUCACCGCCUGUACUUGAUCCUAGUAAAUCCGAAAUCUAUCAUCCACUCACAGCUCGAAUAGAAGGAUCCAAAGUGCACGGGUUAACCUCUUCAUCCUUAUUAUCAUAUAACUAAUGCAGUGUUGGACUAAUGAGCUAGAUUAUUACAUUCUUCCUUGUUAGCUUGUAGGCUAUAUUUUAAAAUAUAUGUUCACACACUCACACAGUUACAAGAAAGAAGGUGUGAUGACAGUAGCACUUCUCCUCCUUUCUUAGGGUAAAAAAUUGCAAUAUGCUGUGUGAUUUUCUUUUAACUCCAUCACUAAAUCAUUUGUGAUGUCAAAUAUAUUUUAAAUUUAAUAUGUAAUGAACUUGUUUUG
Vicia villosa (hairy vetch) is the source of this 998-nucleotide long non-coding RNA. RefSeq lists it as uncharacterized. The transcript is spliced from 3 exons. The record is from RefSeq and is a predicted model, not a curated record. NCBI's taxonomy places the organism in Eukaryota, Viridiplantae, Streptophyta, Magnoliopsida, Fabales, Fabaceae.